Bombus huntii is the source of this 418-nucleotide long non-coding RNA. RefSeq lists it as uncharacterized. The record is from RefSeq and is a predicted model, not a curated record. The transcript has 3 exons. NCBI's taxonomy places the organism in Eukaryota, Metazoa, Arthropoda, Insecta, Hymenoptera, Apidae.
CCUUAUUGAUGCCACUGUUGAUACUAUUCAUGAUAUUCGUCAUAAAAUUGCCGCCUUCCACUAUGAGGAGGACGAGAAGGUCAAAGCUGCAAAACGCAAGGCUGCUGAAGAGACGCUGCCGUUCAUUUUAGAACGUUUGGACCAGCAAGUGAAGGAAAAUGACGGCUACUUCUACGAUGGUACUCUCUCUUGGGCUGAUUUAACAUUCGUUGCUCUGCUCGAUUAUUUGAACUUUAUGUACAAGUCUGAUCUGAUCGAGAAUUACGAGAAUCUGAAGCUGCUGGAGAAAAAGGUCCUCCUUCUGCCCAAGAUCAAAAACUGGAUUGAGAGACGCCCAGUUAGCGAAUUCUAAACUUCACGAUUGCUUAUGGUUUUAUAAGCGUUUAAAGAUUGCGGUCUUAUGGGCUGUGUUUAGACA